RNAcentral lists this ribosomal RNA (1017 nucleotides) under Mucor hiemalis f. silvaticus. RNAcentral describes it as "LSU rRNA". It matches the Rfam family "Eukaryotic large subunit ribosomal RNA", at positions 38 to 962 of the family's 3401-position model. The record is from RNAcentral. Lineage: Eukaryota; Fungi; Mucoromycota; Mucoromycetes; Mucorales; Mucoraceae.
GCAUAUCAAUAAGCGGAGGAAAAGAAAAUAACAAUGAUUUCCCUAGUAACGGCGAGUGAAGAGGAAAGAGCUCAAAGUUGGAACCUGUUUGGCUUAGCUAAACCGGAUUGUAAACUGUAGAAGUGUUUUCCAGACACGCCUGGUAAAAAAGUCCUUUGGAACAGGGCAUCAUAGAGGGUGAGAAUCCCGUCUUUGGCCAGAGCUGUUGUCUUUUGUGAUACAUUUUCAAAGAGUCAGGUUGUUUGGGAAUGCAGCCUAAAUUGGGUGGUAAAUCUCACCUAAAGCUAAAUAUUUGCGAGAGACCGAUAGCGAACAAGUACCGUGAGGGAAAGAUGAAAAGAACUUUGAAAAGAGAGUUAAACAGUAUGUGAAAUUGUUAAAAGGGAACCGUUUGGAGCCAGACUGGCUUGAUCGUAAUCAAUCUAGGCUUCGGCCUGGAUGCACUUGCGGUCUAUGCCUGCCAACGACAGUUUUAUUUGGGGGAAAAAAUUAUUAGGAAUGUGGCCCUUCGGGGUGUUAUAGCCUUUUAAAAAAUACCCUGGAUUGGACUGAGGAACGCAGUGAAUGCCUUUAGGCAAGAUUGCUGGGCGCUUUCGUUAAUACAUGCUAGAAUUUCUGCUUUGGGUGGUGCUAGUGUGUAGCGAUGGAACUCGCUUGGUAUAUUUUUUAUUCGCUUAGGUUGUUGGCUUAAUGACUCUAAAUGACCCGUCUUGAAACACGGACCAAGGAGUCCACCAUAAGUGCAAGUAUUUGGGUGCCAAACCCAUAUGCGUAAGGAAACUGAUUGAUACGAAACCCUUGAGGUGGCAGUAUCACCCGGCGUUGACGUUUUAUACUGAACUGACCGCGGUAAAGCACUUAUGAUGGGACCCGAAAGAUGGUGAACUAUGCCUGAAUAGGGUGAAGCCGGAGGAAACUCCGGUGGAGGCUCGUAGCGAUUCUGACGUGCAAAUCGAUCGUCAAAUUUGGGUAUAGGGGCGAAAGACUAAUCGAACCAUCUAGUAGCUGGUUCCUGCG